UACGUAGGGUGCGAGCGUUAAUCGGAAUUACUGGGCGUAAAGCGUGCGCAGGCGGUUUUGUAAGCCAGAUGUGAAAUCCCCGGGCUUAACCUGGGAAUGGCAUUUGGGACUGCAAGGCUUGAGUUUGGCAGAGGAGACUGGAAUUCCUGGUGUAGCAGUGAAAUGCGUAGAUAUCACUUGGAACGCCAAUGGUGAAGACAGCUCGCUGGGGGUGUCCUGACGCUGAGGCGCGAAAGCCAGGGGAGCGAACGGG
Molecule: ribosomal RNA, 253 nt
Filed under: uncultured bacterium
Lineage: Bacteria
Description: partial 16S ribosomal RNA
Rfam family: Bacterial small subunit ribosomal RNA
Source: RNAcentral